Molecule: ribosomal RNA, 402 nt
Filed under: bacterium enrichment culture
Lineage: Bacteria
Description: bacterial SSU rRNA
Rfam family: Bacterial small subunit ribosomal RNA
Source: RNAcentral
UGGGGAAUCUUGCGCAAUGGGCGAAAGCCUGACGCAGCAACGCCGCGUGCGGGAUGAAGGCCUUCGGGUUGUAAACCGCUUUCAGCAGGGACGAAACUGACGGUACCUGCAGAAGAAGCCCCGGCUAACUACGUGCCAGCAGCCGCGGUAAUACGUAGGGGGCUAGCGUUAUCCGGAUUCAUUGGGCGUAAAGCGCGCGUAGGCGGGCCGUUAAGUCAGAUGUGAAAACCGGGGGCUUAACCCGCGGCCUGCAUCUGAAACUGGCAGCCUCGAGUCUGGUAGAGGAAAGUGGAAUUCCCAGUGUAGCGGUGAAAUGCGCAGAUAUUGGGAGGAACACCAGUGGCGAAGGCGGCUUUCUGGGCCACGACUGACGCUGAGGCGCGAAAGCUAGGGGAGAAAACA